Lacerta agilis (Sand lizard) is the source of this 435-nucleotide long non-coding RNA. RefSeq lists it as uncharacterized. The record is from RefSeq and is a predicted model, not a curated record. NCBI's taxonomy places the organism in Eukaryota, Metazoa, Chordata, Lepidosauria, Squamata, Lacertidae. The transcript has 3 exons.
UCUUUAUUAGUAUGCAUUCUCUUGUCAAUAUAAAUUUUAGUGGAUUAACCUCUGUGAACCCAUCUCUCUAAACAGUGCACUUCCAGCUCCUCAUUUAUGCAUAACUUUCAGUUAUGCAGAAGUUUCAUACACUGAUGGACUCCAAAGGAUUUCCAUUCAGCUCUAAUUUGCGCAGGUUGGUCCAUAUACCCAGCACAAACUCCAAGUCCUGCAAAUACCAAAGAAAAGAAAAUCAAUACUUUUGCUAACUUAGCUCAAUGCUAAUUUUCCAGAUUUUUGUUGACUACUACUCACUUGAUAAAUGAUCCAGAACCUGCUCACGCCAUUGUAUGUUUAUCUAAGAAGGUACUAAUCCCAUGUUGAAAUAUGAUUACCCUUUGGAUACGCUCUAGUUGUUCAUUGCCUUCCUGUCUCUAAUAAAGUGUUUUCACUUUA